Small nuclear RNA from Gorilla gorilla gorilla (western lowland gorilla), 100 nucleotides. NCBI's taxonomy places the organism in Eukaryota, Metazoa, Chordata, Mammalia, Primates, Hominidae. The record is from Ensembl.
GUGCUCGCUUUGGCAGCACAUAUACUGAAAUUGGAACAAUACAGAGAAGAUUAGCAUAUGCAAGGAUGACAGCCAAAUUUGUGAAGCCUUCUAUAUUUAA